This 254-nucleotide ribosomal RNA is filed under the name uncultured bacterium. RNAcentral's name for it is "partial 16S ribosomal RNA". It matches the Rfam family "Bacterial small subunit ribosomal RNA", at positions 524 to 778 of the family's 1533-position model. The record is from RNAcentral.
GACGAACCGUGCGAACGUUGUUCGGAAUCACUGGGCUUAAAGGGCGCGUAGGCGGGCUGACAAGUCUGGGGUGAAAUCCCGCGGCUCAACCGUGGAACUGCCUUAGAUACUGUCGGCCUCGAGGAAGGUAGGGGCAUGCGGAACUGUAGGUGGAGCGGUGAAAUGCGUUGAUAUCUACAGGAACUCCGGUGGCGAAAGCGGCGUGCUGGACCUUUUCGACGCUGAGGCGCGAAAGCUAGGGGAGCCAAACGGGG